GAUGAAGAACGCAGCGAAAUGCGAUAAGUAAUGUGAAUUGCAGAAUUCAGUGAAUCAUCGAAUCUUUGAACGCACCUUGCGCUCCUUGGUAUUCCGAGGAGCAUGCCUGUUUGAGUGUCAUUAAAUUCUCAACCUCACCAGUUUUGUUAUGAAACUGUGUA
RNAcentral lists this ribosomal RNA (161 nucleotides) under Ephemerocybe marculenta. RNAcentral's name for it is "Coprinellus marculentus 5.8S ribosomal RNA". The stretch from base 1 to 120 matches the Rfam family "5.8S ribosomal RNA", at positions 35 to 154 of the family's 154-position model. From Rfam's summary of the family: 5.8S ribosomal RNA (5.8S rRNA) is a component of the large subunit of the eukaryotic ribosome. The record is from RNAcentral. RNAcentral also lists the same sequence under 2 other names. Lineage: Eukaryota; Fungi; Basidiomycota; Agaricomycetes; Agaricales; Psathyrellaceae.